CAAUUGUUCAGUAUCUAGACCUUACUCCAAAUCAGGAAUACUUGUUUGAAAGGAUCAAAGAACUCUCUCAGGGAGGUUGUAUGAGCUCAUUUCGAUGGAACAGAGGUGGCGACUUCAAAGGACGAAAGUGGGAUACAGACCUGCCCACCGAUUCUGCUGUAAGCCCCUAGAUUCAUUCAUUCAUUUAUUUAUUUACUGUUGAUUGACUGACUGACACAGGGUCUUACUCUGUCACCCAGGCUGUAGUGCAGUGGCACAGUCACAUCUCACUGCAGCUUUGAUCUCCCAGGGCUCAAGUGCUCCUCCCAGCUCAGUCUCCCAAGUAGCUGGGACUAGGCCUGAACCACCACACCCAGCUAAUUUUUUAAAUUUUUUGUAGAGAUGGUGUCUCACUUUUUUGCCCAGGCUGGUCUCGAAGUCCUGGGUUCGAGUGAUCCCCCUGCCUCAGCUUCCCAAAGUGCUGGGUUUACAGACACGAGCUACUGUGCCUCACCCUUA
RNAcentral lists this small RNA (498 nucleotides) under Pongo abelii (Sumatran orangutan). RNAcentral's name for it is "retained intron". The record is from RNAcentral. Lineage: Eukaryota; Metazoa; Chordata; Mammalia; Primates; Hominidae.